Molecule: ribosomal RNA, 510 nt
Filed under: uncultured bacterium
Lineage: Bacteria
Description: partial 16S ribosomal RNA
Rfam family: Bacterial small subunit ribosomal RNA
Source: RNAcentral
GACGAACGCUGGCGGCGUGCUUAACACAUUCAAGUCGAACGAAGAGCGAUGGAAGCUUGCUUCUAUCAAUCUUAGUGGCGAACGGGUGAGUAACGCGUAAUCAACCUGCCCUUCAGAGGGGGACAACAGUUGGAAACGACUGCUAAUACCGCAUACGAUCUAACCUCGGCAUCGAGGAAAGAUGAAAGGUGGCCUCUAUGUAUAAGCUAUCACUGAAGGAGGGGAUUGCGUCUGAUUAGCUAGUUGGAGGGGUAACGGCCCACCAAGGUGAUGAUCAGUAGUCGGUCGGAGAGGAUGAACGGCCACAUUGGGACGGAGACACGGCCCAGACUCCUACGGGAGGCAGCAGUGGGGAAUCUUCCGCAAUGGACGAAAGUCUGACGGAGCAACGCCGCGUGAGUGAUGACGGCCUUCGGGUUGGAAAGCUCUGUUAAUCGGGACGAAAGGCCUUCUUGCGAAUAGGGAGAAGGAUUGACGGUACCGGAAUAGAAAGCCACGGCUAACUACGUG